This 497-nucleotide ribosomal RNA is filed under the name uncultured bacterium. RNAcentral describes it as "partial 16S ribosomal RNA". It matches the Rfam family "Bacterial small subunit ribosomal RNA", at positions 28 to 507 of the family's 1533-position model. The record is from RNAcentral.
GAUGAACGCUGGCGGCGUGCCUAAUACAUGCAAGUCGAGCGAACGGACGAGAAGCUUGCUUCUCUGAUGUUAGCGGCGGACGGGUGAGUAACACGUGGAUAACCUACCUAUAAGACUGGGAUAACUUCGGGAAACCGUAGCUAAUACCGGAUAAUAUUUUGAACCGCAUGGUUCAAAAGUGAAAGACGGUCUUGCUGUCACUUAUAGAUGGAUCCGCGCUGCAUUAGCUAGUUGGUAAGGUAACGGCUUACCAAGGCAACGAUGCAUAGCCGACCUGAGAGGCUGGUCGGCCACACUGGAACUGAGACACGGACCAGACUCCUACGAGAGGCAGCAGUAGGGAAUCUUCCGCAAUGGGCGAAAGCCUGACGGAGCAACGCCGCGUGAGUUAUGAAGAUCUUCGGAGCGUAAAACUCUGUUAUUAGGGAAGAACAUAUGUGUAAGUAACUGUGCACAGCUUGACGGUACCUAAUCAGAAAGCCACGGCUAACUACGUG